Molecule: long non-coding RNA, 275 nt
Filed under: Homo sapiens (human)
Lineage: Eukaryota; Metazoa; Chordata; Mammalia; Primates; Hominidae
Description: HSALNT0319532
Source: RNAcentral
CGUUCCGUUCCGUUCCAUUCCAUUCCAUUCCAUUCCAUUCCAUUCCAUUCCAUUCCAUUCCAUUAAAUUCCAUUCCAUUCCAUUCCAUUCAUUUAAAUUCCAUUCCAUUCCAUUCCAUUCCAGUUCAUUCCAUUCCUUUCCAUUCCAUUCCAUUCCCUUCCAUUCCAUUCCAUUCCCUUCCAUUCCAUUCCAUUCAAUUCCAUUCCGUUGCAUUGGAAUCGGGUUGAUUCCAAUCCAUUCCAUUACAUUCCAGUCUUUUCCAUUCCAUUCCAUUC